GACUUUGAGAUGCCCUGAGCCCUGUCC
Molecule: non-coding RNA, 27 nt
Filed under: Mus musculus (house mouse)
Lineage: Eukaryota; Metazoa; Chordata; Mammalia; Rodentia; Muridae
Source: RNAcentral